UGGGCGCAGCCUGAUGCAGCCAUGCCGCGUGUGUGAAGAAGGCCUUCGGGUUGUAAAGCACUUUCAGUCGUGAGGAAGGUGGUGUAGUUAAUAGCUGCAUUAUUUGACGUUAGCGACAGAAGAAGCACCGGCUAACUCCGUGCCAGCAGCCGCGGUAAUACGGAGGGUGCGAGCGUUAAUCGGAAUUACUGGGCGUAAAGCGCAUGCAGGUGGUUAGUUAAGUCAGAUGUGAAAGCCCGGGGCUCAACCUCGGAACUGCAUUUGAAACUGGCUGACUAGAGUACUGUAGAGGGGGGUAGAAUUUCAGGUGUAGCGGUGAAAUGCGUAGAGAUCUGAAGGAAUACCGGUGGCGAAGGCGGCCCCCUGGACAGAUACUGACACUCAGAUGCGAAAGCGUGGGGAGCAAACAGGAUUAGAUACCCUGGUAGUCCACGCCGUAAACGAUGUCUACUUGGAGGUUGUGGCCUUGAGCCGUGGCUUUCGGAGCUAACGCGUUAAGUAGACCGCCUGGGGAGUACGGUCGCAAGAUUAAAACUCAAAUGAAUUGACGGGGGCCCGCACAAGCGGUGGAGCAUGUGGUUUAAUUCGAUGCAACGCGAAGAACCUUACCUACUCUUGACAUCCAGAGAACUUAGCAGAGAUGCUUUGGUGCCUUCGGGAACUCUGAGACAGGUGCUGCAUGGCUGUCGUCAGCUCGUGUUGUGAAAUGUUGGGUUAAGUCCCGCAACGAGCGCAACCCUUAUCCUUGUUUGCCAGCGAGUAAUGUCGGGAACUCCAGGGAGACUGCCGGUGAUAAACCGGAGGAGGUGGGGACGACUUCAGUCAUCAUGGCCCUUA
This 837-nucleotide ribosomal RNA is filed under the name uncultured Vibrio sp. RNAcentral describes it as "bacterial SSU rRNA". It matches the Rfam family "Bacterial small subunit ribosomal RNA", at positions 372 to 1204 of the family's 1533-position model. The record is from RNAcentral. Lineage: Bacteria; Pseudomonadati; Pseudomonadota; Gammaproteobacteria; Vibrionales; Vibrionaceae.